This 19-nucleotide small RNA is filed under the name Arabidopsis thaliana (thale cress). Its description in RNAcentral is "ATSL179940". The record is from RNAcentral. Lineage: Eukaryota; Viridiplantae; Streptophyta; Magnoliopsida; Brassicales; Brassicaceae.
AAAAGAACAAAAUCCAAAA